Long non-coding RNA from Myotis davidii, 107 nucleotides. RefSeq lists it as uncharacterized. The record is from RefSeq and is a predicted model, not a curated record. The transcript is spliced from 3 exons. NCBI's taxonomy places the organism in Eukaryota, Metazoa, Chordata, Mammalia, Chiroptera, Vespertilionidae.
GGUGAUGUUGGAGGGAUGACCUUUAGUGUUGGGGCUGGGACUGUCAGGCCACAUGUUAUCAUGUCUAGGAUAAGUGUUUGUGUGUUGGGGAGGGGUGGCAGGGUGAG